UGUUUCCAUUAAUCAAGAACGAAAGUUAGAGGUUCGAAGGCGAUCAGAUACCGCCCUAGUUCUAACCAUAAACGAUGCCAGCCAGCGAUCCGGCUGUGUUCCUCAAAUGACACGCCGGGCAGCUUCCGGGAAACCAAAGCUUUUGGGUUCCGGGGGGAGUAUGGUUGCAAAGCUGAAACUUAAAGGAAUUGACGGAAGGGCACACAAGAAAUGGAGCCUGCGGCUUAAUUUGACUCAACACGGGGUAGCCUACCUGGCCCGGACACAGGAAGGAUUGACAGAUUAAGAGCUCUUUCUUGAUUCUGUGGGUUGUGGUGCAUGGUCGUUCUUAGUUGGUGGAGCGAUUUGUCUGGUUUAUUCCGAUAACGAACGAGACUCUAGCCUACUAAAUAGACGCUUCCGAUCCUUGUAGUCGGACGUUCUUCUUAGAGGGACAAGCGGUGUCUAGCCGCACGAGACAGAGCAAUAACAGGUCUGUAUGCCCAUAGAUGUUCGGGGCCGCACGCGCGCUACAAUGAAGGAAUCAGCGUGUGCUUUCCCUGUCCGACAGGACUGGGUAACCCGUUGAAACUCCUUCGUGCUGGGGAUAGGGAUUUGAAAUUGUCUCCCUUGAACCAGGAAUUCCCCGUAAGUGCUUGUCAUAAGCAAGCGUUGAUUACGUCCCUGCCCUUUGUGCACACCGCCCGUCGCUAUUACCGAUUGAAUUAUUUAGUGAGGUCUUCGGACUGGCGCUCGGAUUGGCCUUCUGGUCGAGCCGAGUGCCGGAAAGAUGACCAAAC
RNAcentral lists this ribosomal RNA (779 nucleotides) under Crustulina sticta. RNAcentral's name for it is "SSU rRNA". It matches the Rfam family "Eukaryotic small subunit ribosomal RNA", at positions 965 to 1764 of the family's 1831-position model. Lineage: Eukaryota; Metazoa; Arthropoda; Arachnida; Araneae; Theridiidae. The record is from RNAcentral.